Molecule: long non-coding RNA, 499 nt
Organism: Mauremys reevesii (Reeves's turtle)
Lineage: Eukaryota; Metazoa; Chordata; Testudines; Geoemydidae
Exons: 3
Source: RefSeq, a predicted model, not a curated record
AUCAUCUAGCAUUUGUGAUUUCACAAUCACUUUCAUGGAACUGGAUUGUGACUUGAAUUCAAGAAUCAGGAACGAGAAGGAAGCCGAUUACACAUUACAAUUAUGCACAAACAAGGAAUGUUACUCAAAUGUUUGAGGCUUAAAUAGGGUGUGAAGAAGAAUUGCAGGAUUGAAUGGAGUCAACGAGAGGGUUUUUCAUGCUUCAGAGGACAACACAAGACUCUACUUUCCUGAGGGAAGAUGGUUCUACUUUCCUUGGCAACUCGCUGGUCUAGUUAAUGGGUGCGGUGUGACAAUCUACAGCUUGCCUUCAGUACGCAUGGUGUAGAGCAGUUAAGUGAUCUGAUAUUCCAGUUAUCUUGAAUAACAACAUACAUUUGCAUAGUACCUUUCACACUGAGGAACCUGAAUGGCCUUGAAAGACAAUAGAUGGAGAGCAAUCACUUUUUUUGCACACACAAUUAACCAUGUUUAGCGAGGAGUGGCAGCCUCUGUGGCA